Molecule: ribosomal RNA, 404 nt
Filed under: Fusobacteriota bacterium
Lineage: Bacteria; Fusobacteriati; Fusobacteriota
Description: Fusobacteria bacterium partial 16S ribosomal RNA
Rfam family: Bacterial small subunit ribosomal RNA
Source: RNAcentral
UGGGGAAUAUUGCACAAUGGAGGGAACUCUGAUGCAGUGACGCCGCGUGAGUGAUGAAGGAAUUCGUUUCGUAAAACUCUGUUCUAUGGGAAGAAAAGGACUGUACCAUAGGAGAAAGCUCCGGCUAAAUACGUGCCAGCAGCCGCGGUAAUACGUAUGGAGCGAGCGUUGUCCGGAAUUAUUGGGCGUAAAGGGUGCGCAGGCGGCUUUACAAGUUGGAUGUGAAAUAUUGUGGCUCAACCACAAACGUGCAUCCAAAACUGCAAAGCUUGAGUUAAGGAGAGGUAAGUGGAAUUCCUGGUGUAGCGGUGGAAUGCGUAGAUAUCAGGAGGAAUACCGGUGGCGAAGGCGACUUACUGGACUUAAACUGACGCUCAGGCACGAAAGCGUGGGGAGCAAACAGG